Lates calcarifer (barramundi perch) is the source of this 868-nucleotide long non-coding RNA. RefSeq lists it as uncharacterized. The record is from RefSeq and is a predicted model, not a curated record. The transcript is spliced from 2 exons. NCBI's taxonomy places the organism in Eukaryota, Metazoa, Chordata, Actinopteri, Centropomidae.
CCCACAGAUCCUCAGGACUGCUACGUCAUCAUUGUCUUCUGUCCAAUCACGUCUCGUGUUGGAUCAGAUGUGGAGGCAGCCAUGAGACGUGAGGAAGUGUCUCAGAGUCAGAAACCUGUCAUCUUAGUGAUGAUGCAUCACACCAGAGAAGUCGACUAUUCACCUGAUGGAAGAAAAUGGUGUGAAAAGUAUCGAAACGUCGUCUCUGAGGUUCAUGUUCUCUUCCAUGAGACUCAGCCGGGCUUACUGAGAUGUGACAGGAAUGAUCAGGCAUUUGAACAAAUUCAAAAUGAGGUGUACAAACACAGUAAAGGCAGACGGCCUUGGUGACUUUCUGGUCUGGAUGUGGAACAAAAAGCAACAAACAAUGAAGUAAAGAAAGCAGCAGGAUGGUGAGAUUCAUGUUAGUGAUCAAUGACAGAAACAGAGAAACACAGUUUGACCUUCUCCUGAGUGAAUCUGAUUUAAUAUCACUGAUCACAGCUGCUUCACACUGUAUUUCUGCUCUAUAGUUACUGAGUGUCUUUCCUCUUUUUAUUCACAUUUUCAGUCUGCACAUAAACAAAUAAUCAAAGUUUUAUCUGCUGAGCUGAGGAUGAAUAAACUCUGACGUCCAUGAAGAGAAUAAACAUCAGAUCUGAACCUUCCUCACAUUAAAACAUUCAAACAGAAACAUGGUUUCCCAUCGUCUGAUCUUUGACUGCAGCUCUGUUAAUGACCUCCUCCUCCUCUUCUUCUUCUGUGGUGGUUUAACAGCAGCGACUGGAGACCCAGCUCCUCCAGCUGUUGAUGGCUCAGAUUGGACUCUGUACAUGACACUGUUGACUGUUUGCCUGUGUGUUGGAUUAAAUGUUUCAUCUCAGUGUGA